RNAcentral lists this ribosomal RNA (560 nucleotides) under uncultured archaeon. RNAcentral's name for it is "bacterial SSU rRNA". It matches the Rfam family "Archaeal small subunit ribosomal RNA", at positions 1 to 570 of the family's 1478-position model. The record is from RNAcentral.
UUCCGGUUGAUCCUGCCGGAGGCCACUGCUAUCGGGGUUUGACUAAGCCAUGCGAGUCGAGAGGUGCAAGACCUCGGCGUACUGCUCAGUAACACGUGGACAAUCUGCCCUGAAGAGGAGGAUAAUCCCGGGAAACUGGGGGUAAUACUCCAUAGUUCGUGCUGACUGGAAUGUUAUGCGAACGAAAGAUCCGUCGCUUCAGGAUGAGUCUGCGGCCGAUUAGGUAGUUGUUGGGGUAACGGCCCAACAAGCCAUUGAUCGGUACGGGUUGUGAGAGCAAGAGCCCGGAGAUGGAUUCUGAGACACGAAUCCAGGCCCUACGGGGCGCAGCAGGCGCGAAAACUUUACAAUGCGAGAAAUCGUGAUAAGGGAACCCCGAGUGCCCGUAAAUUCGGGCUGUCCGCCAGUGUAAAUAACUGGUGAAGAAAGGGCCGGGCAAGACCGGUGCCAGCCGCCGCGGUAAUACCGGCGGCUCGAGUGGUGGCCACUAUUACUGGGCUUAAAGCGUCCGUAGCUGGAUUGUUAAGUCUCUUGGGAAAUCCACCGGCUCAACCGAUGGG